Pollicipes pollicipes is the source of this 1384-nucleotide long non-coding RNA. RefSeq lists it as uncharacterized. The record is from RefSeq and is a predicted model, not a curated record. NCBI's taxonomy places the organism in Eukaryota, Metazoa, Arthropoda, Thecostraca, Pollicipedomorpha, Pollicipedidae. The transcript is spliced from 3 exons.
UGUUCGUUGCGUAGCGUUGCGAUGUGGGACGAGGUGAACCGGAACCGGAAAGUAGGAUAACGUUGGAACUAACAAGCACUCCUCACGCUCCCCACACUGCAGCCUGCAUGCGAGGCAGGAGGAGGCGCUGCUUCUUGGCAGAUGAAAAUUUCAGUUCCAUUUAAAUAUUUCCGCUCCUCAGGAAAAUUUCGUCUUCGGUGCUGUGGAGCGCAUGGUUUGUCAUCUUGACAAGAUCAGGUUUGUUGCUGAUAGUUUACGUAAGGUGCGCGUGAUUUUGGUUGCUUUGCUACUUUUCAUUUCCGUUCCGCCUGUCAUCGCAUCGUUACGCGGCGAAAAGUAGCCAGCAGGCUUCUGCCAUCCCUUCAGCGGUCAUAUUUCAGCUUAUUCCACUGACGUCAUCGACUCCUAUAUAAUCAGACGACUCCUGCGCACCUCCACGUGUAGCUCUCAAACCAACAUUAGAAACAGACAAUGUCAUACAACCACGUAACACAGCGGUAAAAUCGUAGAUGACUGUGCCUGGUACACAGGGCCUUGGUUGCCAAUUUGGGGCGGCCUUGAGCACGGCUCCCGAGCGUGCGAUUCAAGGGACCAGGGAUGUAGUGAUGUGAAGGAUGCAGGUGGGAGAGCGUGCGCCUGGUGACCCGGCGCAGGAAGCUGUGUGGUUCGAGCCUGGCUCCCGGCACAGUGUCGUCCCCCACGGCGAUGGAUAUGAGCGGUGUUGGCGCCAGAAGACCGUACUGAGCGUGAUCCGUCCGCGCCACUGGUUUAUGAGACGCACAGUGUCUGCUGUGGAGUUGGGUGGCAUCAAUGCACAGUCAGGUGCCGUAACUAAGCUAGGGUAUCAUGGCUUGUCAUUUUUUGCAGAUAUGGGCCAACGGCCCAAAACCGAAGGCUUGUCGGUCGUUAAUGUUUCAGUGUCACGAUCGAUUGCCGUCUGUCGAAUCCAGCUGUUUUUUAUGGAACAAAUAAGCGUACGUAAACCACGAAGUGGAGAAGAUAUCAUUAUUCUCCAAGAGAGUUAUGUCAUGUCCAGUGACUGCGGGGUUCUGCGAAUUCCUCAGUGAGGCUGCUGGCGGCGGCCGACCAGCAGGCGGGCGCCGGCAUCACGCUCGCCUCGGGCGUGACGCUCUCCUCGCUGGGCGCGCCGCCCGGCCCGAUGGCGGUGGUGGGCUCCGGGCCGCGGCCGCCGGACCGCGCCGACCGGCGCAGCUUCCCCUGCUCCGUCUGCGGCAAGGAGUUCGGCUACCCGCACCACAUGCGCCGCCACGUGGAGACGGUGCACACCAUGUACCCCAGUUACGUGUUCUGCCCGGAGUGCGGCCGCGUCUACAAGAACAAGAACAGCUUGAGUGUGCACAUGUCCAUGUACCACAACUCGCAG